This 467-nucleotide ribosomal RNA is filed under the name uncultured bacterium. Its description in RNAcentral is "partial 16S ribosomal RNA". The stretch from base 20 to 331 matches the Rfam family "Bacterial small subunit ribosomal RNA", at positions 47 to 358 of the family's 1533-position model. The record is from RNAcentral.
GACGAACGCUGGCGGCGUGCUUAACACAUGCAAGUCGAACGGAAAGGCCCUGCUUUUGUGGGGUGCUCGAGUGGCGAACGGGUGAGUAACACGUGAGUAACCUGCCCUUGACUUUGGGAUAACUUCAGGAAACUGGGGCUAAUACCGGAUAGGAGCUCCUGCUGCAUGGUGGGGGUUGGAAAGUUUCGGCGGUUGGGGAUGGACUCGCGGCUUAUCAGCUUGUUGGUGGGGUAGUGGCUUACCAAGGCUUUGACGGGUAGCCGGCCUGAGAGGGUGACCGGAAAAGUGGGGAGGAAAAGACGGCGGAACACCGGAGGGGGGAAGAGGGGGGGGAAUAGUAAAAAGGGGGGGAAGGCGGAAGGAGGAAACGCGGGGGAGGGGAGGAGGGCGUAGGGGUUGAACACCGUUUCGGCGGGGAAGGAAGGGGGGGGGAGGGAAGGGGGAAAGAAAGACCGGAAAAAUAACGG